RNAcentral lists this ribosomal RNA (274 nucleotides) under uncultured bacterium. Its description in RNAcentral is "partial 16S ribosomal RNA". It matches the Rfam family "Bacterial small subunit ribosomal RNA", at positions 523 to 796 of the family's 1533-position model. The record is from RNAcentral.
AUACAGAGGGUGCAAGCGUUAAUCGGAUUUACUGGGCGUAAAGCGCGCGUAGGCGGCUAAUUAAGUCAAAUGUGAAAUCCCCGAGCUUAACUUGGGAAUUGCAUUCGAUACUGGUUAGCUAGAGUGUGGGAGAGGAUGGUAGAAUUCCAGGUGUAGCGGUGAAAUGCGUAGAGAUCUGGAGGAAUACCGAUGGCGAAGGCAGCCAUCUGGCCUAACUCUGACGCUGAGGUGCGAAAGCAUGGGGAGCAAACAGGAUUAGAAACCCCGGUAGUCC